UACGUAGGCAGCGAGCGUUGUUCGGAGUUACUGGGCGUAAAGGGUGUGUAGGCGGUUGUUUAAGUUUGGUGUGAAAUCUCCCGGCUCAACUGGGAGGGUGCGCCGAAUACUGAAUGACUUGGAGUGCGGGAGAGGUGAGUGGAAUUCCUGGUGUAGCGGUGAAAUGCUUAGAUAUGGCACAGAACACCGAUAGUGAAGACAGCUCACGAGGGCCAAACUGACGCUGAGGCACGAAAGCGUGGGGAUCGAACAGG
This 254-nucleotide ribosomal RNA is filed under the name uncultured bacterium. RNAcentral describes it as "partial 16S ribosomal RNA". It matches the Rfam family "Bacterial small subunit ribosomal RNA", at positions 524 to 776 of the family's 1533-position model. The record is from RNAcentral.